Molecule: ribosomal RNA, 482 nt
Filed under: uncultured bacterium
Lineage: Bacteria
Description: partial 16S ribosomal RNA
Rfam family: Bacterial small subunit ribosomal RNA
Source: RNAcentral
AUUGAACGCUGGCGGCAUGCUUUACACAUGCAAGUCGAACGGUAACAGGCCGCAUGGUGCUGACGAGUGGCGAACGGGUGAGUAAUGCAUCGGAACGUGCCCAGUCGUGGGGGAUAACUACUCGAAAGAGUAGCUAAUACCGCAUACGCUCUAUGGAUGAAAGUGGGGGACCGUACGGCCUCGCGCGAUUUGAGCGGCCGAUGUCAGAUUAGGUAGUUGGUGGGGUAAAGGCUCACCAAGCCAACGAUCUGUAUCUGGUCUGAGAGGACGACCAGCCACACUGGGACUGAGACACGGCCCAGACUCCUACGGGAGGCAGCAGUGGGGAAUUUUGGACAAUGGGCGCAAGCCUGAUCCAGCAAUGCCGCGUGCAGGAAGAAGGCCUUCGGGUUGUAAACUGCUUUUGUACGGAACGAAACGAAUCUGGUUAAUACCCGGGGCUAAUGACGGUACCGUAAGAAUAAGCACCGGCUAACUACGUG